GGUACUCUGCUCAGUGUGGGGACUCUAGGAGUGACAUAGACACAGAUGUUUCUUCCCCACAAAGCUUAUAACCCAGAUGAAAGGACAGACAUAUGAGUUUUAACUAACUUAAUUCUUUAUACAAUAAAGAGGAGUACUAAGUGCAUAGAUCUUUUAAGGGCCCAGGAAAAUAUUUAAGACAACUACAACAAAUUAUUGACAACACAAAAUUUUUAAAAGCUAGCCAAUACUCAAUUCCGGGGAGUGAUAGACACAUUUGUAAUCCUGCAUCAGAAAGUACAAAGCGGAGUGGUUUCCCAACAGCCAAACGUGGGGUGAGGAGGAGACUGAGAAAGGCUUCCCACAGGGGCUACUGCAUGAGCUGGGUCUUGAAGGAGGAGUAGACCUUCCCAGGGAUGGAGACAGGGUGGAUCCCUAGGAAAGGAAACAAGCCAGCAAAAGAAGAGUUUCUAGAGAAAGGAGAGGAUUGAUGGGUUCACUGGUGCUCACUGGAAACUAUCAAAUUUGUAAUGUGAGCAUCCCAACAUGCAGAGGAACCAGAAGUUCAAUAUUUGAGCUGAUUAAGGAUCAAUCAGCCAGUUCCCUGGGCAGGGGAGAGACUCUGCUUCCACAUUAUCAGGGACUCAGAGAAGCUGGAUAAACGUCUCUGCUUUCUUUCCUCUGGUCCAUCCUGCUCCAGUAUCAGUGCACCCAGCACUAUUUCUCAAAACACAUCUG
Molecule: long non-coding RNA, 717 nt
Filed under: Homo sapiens (human)
Lineage: Eukaryota; Metazoa; Chordata; Mammalia; Primates; Hominidae
Description: non-protein coding lnc-CMPK2-6:5
Source: RNAcentral